GCCAGAUCUGGCCUUAGUUUUCGUACCCAUGCGCUAGAGCAUGAGACUCUUAAUCUCAAGGACAUGGAUUUGAGCCCCACAUUGGGCA
Molecule: non-coding RNA, 88 nt
Organism: Podarcis lilfordi (Lilford's wall lizard)
Lineage: Eukaryota; Metazoa; Chordata; Lepidosauria; Squamata; Lacertidae
Source: the annotation of a GenBank genome assembly